CACACACACAUGCAAAGGAGCUGCAUGCAUGCACUAUGUGCACACACAGAUGCAAAAGAGCUGCAUGCAUGAACCACGUGCACACACCUCAUGGAAAGGAGCUCCAUGCAUGAACGAUGUGCAGACCCACAUACAAAAGAGCUGCAUGCAUGCACUACGUGCACAUACACAUGCAAAGGAGCUGCACGCAUGCACAAAGUGCACAUAAUCACGUGAAAAGCAGCUGCAUGCAUUCACCAUGGGCACACUGACAUGCAAAGGAGCUGCAUGCAUGCAACAUGGCCACACACUCACAUGCAAAGCAGCUGCAUGCAUGCACGAUGUGCACACACACAUGCAAAGCAGCUGUGCACACACACAUGCAAAGCAGCUGCAUGCAUGCACCAUGUGCACACACUCACAUGCAAAGCAGCUGCAUGCAUGCAACAUGUCCACACACACACAUGCAAAGGAGCUGCAUGCACGCACUACGUGUACACCCACAUGCAACGCAGCUGCAUGCAUGCAACAUGGCCACACACUCACAUGCAAAGCAGCUCCAUGCACGCACUAUGUGCACACCCACAUGCAAAAGAGCUGCAUGCAUGCACUAUGUGCACACACUCAUAUGCAAAGCAGCUGCAUGCAUGCACGAGGUGCACACACACAUGCAAAGGAGCUGUGCACACCCACAUGCAAAGCAGCUGCAUGCAUGCACUGUGUGCACAAACACUUGCAAAUCAUCCGCAUGCAUGCACUACGUGCACACACACACGCAAAGCAGCUGCAUGCAUGCACUAUAUGCACACACCCCCAAGCAAAGGAGCUGCAUGCAUGCAUUAUAUGCAAACCCACAUACAGAAGAGCUGCAUGCAUGCACGAUGUGCACACACCCACAUGCAAAGCAGCUGCAUGCAUGCAUUAUGGGCACACACAUGCAAAGCAGCUGUGCACACACACAUGCAGAGGACCUGCAUGCAUGCACUAUGUGCACACCCACAUGCAAAGCAGCUGCAUGCAUGCACCACGGGCGCACACACAUGCAAAGGAGCUGCAUGCAUACACUGUGCACACAUCCACAUGCAAAGGAGCUGCAUGCAUGCACUAUGUGCACACACAGAUGCAAAAGAGCUGCAUGCAUGCACUGUGCACACUCACGUACAAAGCAGCUGCAUGCAUGCACAAUGUUCACACACCCACAUGCAAAGCAGCUGCAAGCAUGCACUAUGUGCACACACUCACGUGCAAAGGAGCUGCAUGCAUGCACUGUGCACACCCACAUGCAAAGCAGCUGCACGCACGCACUGCGCGCACCCCCCCCGUGCAAAGGAGCUGCGCUCACACGGGCACGCACUGCGCAUGCGCACAC
RNAcentral lists this long non-coding RNA (1348 nucleotides) under Gallus gallus (chicken). RNAcentral's name for it is "lncRNA (ENSGALG00010003672.1)". The record is from RNAcentral. Lineage: Eukaryota; Metazoa; Chordata; Aves; Galliformes; Phasianidae.